Mustela erminea (ermine) is the source of this 3618-nucleotide long non-coding RNA. RefSeq lists it as uncharacterized. NCBI's taxonomy places the organism in Eukaryota, Metazoa, Chordata, Mammalia, Carnivora, Mustelidae. The transcript is spliced from 7 exons. The record is from RefSeq and is a predicted model, not a curated record.
AGUUACCCGUGGUCCAGAAAGCAGAUGAUCGUCUUUCUCACGUAUUGUCAGAAGGUCUGUCUGUGAGAUAUGCUGCAGGUGCUUGCCAGAAGUGGGAUUGCUGUAUGAAGGAGAAAAUCUUGCUAGAGAAAACCAUGCCAAGCCUGAAAACAUUGGGGACCCGACGCCAAGUUCAACAAGCCAGGGAACUUUCUGGCAGAAAUGAUUCCAUCUGUAACAAGGCAGUCUCGUGGGCUGGAGCUCACAAUUGGCAGGAAGUUACAGAGCCAUAACUCAGAUGGGAUAAGAUUCAUCAUUGGGCCCCUGGACUUCUCACCUAGGAUCCCAAGAAUGCACCUUUGAAGCCUUUGUCUUCCCUCCUGCCUAAUAGAUUGGGGAUCUGUGGGAGAGUAUGACUCUGGAACCAGUGCUUCAGACAGACAUUGUUGAAGCUGCCAGACUGCAACAGGAUAUAAACCUGAGGAUGUUAUUUGUGUGGGAUUCUACAACUUCAUCACUGGAUCAAGUGGACAUACAAGGACCUGCACAUUUGAUCCUAGCUCCUCCCCAAACCCGCCACACACGGAUUCAUCAUCCUCAUUUUUGUGCUACCGACCUUUGCACAUGCCACUUCCUUUGCCUGGAAAGGAUUUUCUGAUUCUGGUUGCUUGGCAAAGCCCAGUCAUCCUUCAAAAACCAACUCCAAGGUCACCUCCUCUGUGAAGCAUCCCCUGAAAGAGGAUUAGCUCUGUCAUCUCUACACUCAUUCACCCACACGUGCUUAUUGAGUGCUGUCCCUUCCCUUCAGCCAAGACCACCAGGAACAUGCCAGCAGUGAAACAAGACUCUCCCUUCCUAGAGGCCCUCCAUUUUUCGACCUCACUGAGUGCUCCAUGUGACCAAGGCUAAGAGUCAGAAUGGGGAAAAUUGCAACUGGACAAUGUAAGAGAAAAUAAAGUGGGGUAAAAGGUCACCAUUGCAGAGUUCUCCAGGAUACUUAAAGAUCAUAAUUUGGAAACACAUCUGGAGGUAAGACGGGACUGAGCAUUACAUCUUGCUAGGACACAUUAUUUCUAUUUUUAUCUGUGUAAUCGACUUGGUGUAUGAAGUAGAAGCAAAUCACUCUUCUCUGCCUGAUUCCCCACAUAAGAAGGCAAAGAUAAUUUCCACCAAAUGUUGGAAAGGCUGUACUGGAUUAAUUACUGACUCAAAUUCUGGCAUGAGGAUAUCGGCUAAAACUCAGUUUUUGAUCUAUUUGCAACAGUAUGCUCUGGGGAUGCUGCCCUUCCUGAAUUUUCUCUCAUCUUGCCAGCUGAAAGAGUUGGUCUUCUUGUGAGAAGCCAAUCUGUAUCUAUUUAACAAGUAAUAUGAAUUAUGUACCCGAUAAUGGUUUUCUUUUUCCUUUGGCUGUGUACAAAGGGCAGAGGCAAACUGCUCAGUGCUUGGAAACAUGUAGAAUUUUCAAGGCAUGCCUUUGAUGUCCUAACCUCACCAUGGCCAUGCACUUUCUAUUCUAUUUUCUUUCCUUGCCUACCCUCAUUUAUCUUUAGUGGAUUGUAUCUCGCUGAAUUGUAUCCAUCUUUGUAAGACAACCUCAGUCCUUCCUGGAACAGCACAAAUAAAUGGAUACAGACGGCAGUGUUUCUGUGGUAGACUUGAUUCUUCACUUUCAGAGCAGUGCAUUGAGUUACUGACAUGCACCAUUGUCCCAUUACCUUCUUAAUGAACUAACGUAGCAGAGGCCCUUUUAAGGCAAAAAGUUAAAUAUUAAGUUCCAGAGUUCCUAGCUGAGAGAAGUUGUAAUUUCAGAACUGGUUGAUCAAGAAAUGUAUUUUGAAUGGUGGCUAGGGGCAGGGGCUAGGAAGUGGGUGAAACGGAUGAAGGGGGUCAAAGGUACAAACUUCCAUGUGCAACAUGGUGAUGAGAGUUAACAAUACUGGACUGAGAGUUAACAAUACUGGACUUAUAUUUGAAAGUUGAUAAGAAAGUAGAUAAAAGUUCCCAUCACAAGAAAAAAACAUUGUGGGGUGCUUCGGUGGUUGACUCUUGAUUUUUGGCUCAGGUCAUGAUCUUAGAGUCAUGAAACUGAGUCCUUCAUUAGGCUGUUAUGCUCAACAGGAAGUCUACUUGAGAUCCUCUCCGGCUCCCUCUGCCUCUUCCCCUGCUUACCCGCGCUCUCUCUCUAAAAUAAAUAAAUGAGAUCUUAAAAAAAGAAAAUAAAAAUUUUGCUAACUAUGCGAGGUGAUGGGCACUAACUAAACUUACUGUGGUGGUUAUUUCAUAGUAUAUACAAAUACCAAAUCAUUGUGUUGUGCACCUUAAACAACUAUUAUGCUACAUGUCCAUUAUGUCUCAAUACAAAAAUGUACGAAUGACCCAAAAAAUCAGAUACACAUUUCAACAGUAAUUGAGUCAUCAGAAACAUUAGUGAGUAAUCAGGAAGUUGUGUUUGCUGAAAUGAAAAGUAUCAGAUGUGAGGCAGUCCUGAUGUUUUAAUAUUGGCUUGUUAUACACAUUCCUAUCCAUUACCCUUACUGUAUUUUGGCUUUUGCUUUUGUAAAAUAUAGACACAGUAUAGAGUAGAGAUCAAGGAAAGGAAAUCAUUUGUGCAAGUACAUUAAUACAAAUAAGUACAACUUAAUACAAAUUAAUCAGUAUGGAUUAAUACCAAUAAAUCCAUGAUGGUCAGGGCUGAAAAAAAAAAAGAAAAAACAUAUGCUGACAGUUUACUUGAUUUUGCUAAUGUUUUAAGAUGAGUUUUUAUUUUAUUAAAAUAUAAUACAGAACCAAAAUUAAUGAAUUUAUAAUUUAUCAAUUAUAUCUUAUUAAUCACAACCAAUCCAUAUACAUUUGAAAAAUAGGUGCAUAUAUUUUGCAACUAUCCAGUUUGAAUAUCAGUAUUGUCUGUUGAGCAUAUGGAGUAGAAGACUCCUUGCAGAACUUCAUGGUGCCUCAGAGGUUGAUCAUUCCCGCUAGGAACCUGACACUCUACCUGUGCUCUGUUUUCAAGGCAUAUUUGGUUAGAUGCUAGUGCCCUCAGGUAUGCACUAGAGUGUUUCCUUUUUGUGAAAAAUGGAAAACAAUUGGCAUGACCUCAACCUUUACUCAUAGAAUUUCCCUUCUACCUUACCAGACAUGCAUCAAAAUUCCUUUGUUAAAUUUGAAUGAUGUUUAAAUCAGUCCAUAUGGGCUUUGAGAUUUUAAACUUGCUAAAUGUUCUGAUACAAUAUUUUGUUUUCACCCAUUGUAUAUAAUUUAACACUAUUCCUAUUCAAGAAUAGAUCUAAGAAGGCAAGGAUCUCAUUUUGUAAAAAGGAAACUGAAAGGGAAGUGAAUGCCUUCACUGAGGUGGUGUUUCAAGGUAGAGACUGACCUGAGACUAGACCUUUAUUUCUUAAAAUAAAUUCUGUUGCUUUUUGCUUUAUCUUAUGUUGACUAAGGGCUGUCUCUUUAAAAAAAUAAAAAUCUUUUUAAGUAAACAAGUUCCCAGUGACCCCUUCAUUUCUCAUCCUCCCGCUGUCCCCCAAUGAAAUAUCAGUCCUGUGUACAGACAGACCUGUCUCUCUCUAUUCUUCAACAUCUUUGCCUCCCACUGGGGUCUCAAAAUCCCUCUACCGUCUACAUUCAUUAAGAAAUCAA